GAUGAACGCUGGCGGCGUGCCUAAUACAUGCAAGUCGAGCGAACAGACGAGGAGCUUGCUCCUCUGACGUUAGCGGCGGACGGGUGAGUAACACGUGGAUAACCUACCUAUAAGACUGGGAUAACUUCGGGAAACCGGAGCUAAUACCGGAUAAUAUAUUGAACCGCAUGGUUUAAUAGUGAAAGACGGUUUUGCUGUCACUUAUAGAUGGAUCCGCGCCGCAUUAGCUAGUUGGUAAGGUAACGGCUUACCAAGGCAACGAUGCGUAGCCGACCUGAGAGGGUGAUCGGCCACACUGGAACUGAGACACGGUCCAGACUCCUACGGGAGGCAGCAGUAGGGAAUCUUCCGCAAUGGGCGAAAGCCUGACGGAGCAACGCCGCGUGAGUGAUGAAGGUCUUCGGAUCGUAAAACUCUGUUAUUAGGGAAGAACAAAUGCGUAAGUAACUAUGCACGUCUUGACGGUACCUAAUCAGAAAGCCACGGCUAACUACGUG
This 497-nucleotide ribosomal RNA is filed under the name uncultured bacterium. Its description in RNAcentral is "partial 16S ribosomal RNA". It matches the Rfam family "Bacterial small subunit ribosomal RNA", at positions 28 to 507 of the family's 1533-position model. The record is from RNAcentral.